ACGCACGCUGGCGGCGUGCUUAACCCCUGCCAGUCGCACGGAAAGGCCCUGCUUGCAGGGUACUCGAGUGGCGAACGGGUGAGUAACACGUGGGUGAUCUGCCCUGCACUUCGGGAUAAGCCUGGGAAACUGGGUCUAAUACCGGAUAGGAGCCAUUUUUAGUGUGAUGGUUGGAAAGUUUUUUCGGUGUAGGAUGAGCUCGCGGCCUAUCAGCUUGUUGGUGGGGUAAUGGCCUACCAAGGCGGCGACGGGUAGCCGGCCUGAGAGGGUGGACGGCCACAUUGGGACUGAGAUACGGCCCAGACUCCUACGGGAGGCAGCAGUGGGGAAUAUUGCACAAUGGGCGCAAGCCUGAUGCAGCGACGCCGCGUGGGGGAUGACGGCCUUCGGGUUGUAAACUCCUUUCGCUAGGGACGAAGCUUUUUGUGACGGUACCUAGAUAAGAAGCACCGGCUAACUACGUG
This 464-nucleotide ribosomal RNA is filed under the name uncultured bacterium. RNAcentral describes it as "partial 16S ribosomal RNA". It matches the Rfam family "Bacterial small subunit ribosomal RNA", at positions 29 to 507 of the family's 1533-position model. The record is from RNAcentral.